AUGAUCUCUGACGAUGGGAGAGUUAAAAAAAAAAUGGCGUCGAACGGUGGGGACCGUGGUGCUUGCAAAAAAAAAAAUCCACGGGACCCGUACAACGACUGACGGACAACACCCGGGACAUUAGCGUUUACUGAUUAUUUGUGGCGGCUUGGAUGUCUUUCACUUCUAGACAAGAGCUUCUCUGACAGUGCAAACAUCGUUUGACAAAGAUGCAAACUAAAUGAGUGCCAGACUGCCAGGUGUGGGGGAACUGUCCUGUGGACCACAGGUCUCCCAUGCCAGACUGCCAGGUGUCGGAACUGUCCUGCGGACAACAGGUCUCCCAUGCCAGACUGCCAGGUGUCGGAACUGUCCUGUGGACCACAGGUCUCCCAUGCCAGACUGCCA
Molecule: long non-coding RNA, 387 nt
Organism: Oncorhynchus gorbuscha (pink salmon)
Lineage: Eukaryota; Metazoa; Chordata; Actinopteri; Salmoniformes; Salmonidae
Exons: 3
Source: RefSeq, a predicted model, not a curated record